Molecule: ribosomal RNA, 253 nt
Filed under: uncultured bacterium
Lineage: Bacteria
Description: partial 16S ribosomal RNA
Rfam family: Bacterial small subunit ribosomal RNA
Source: RNAcentral
UACGUAGGUGGCAAGCGUUAUCCGGAUUUAUUGGGCGUAAAGGGAACGCAGGCGGUCUUUUAAGUCUGAUGUGAAAGCCUUCGGCUUAACCGGAGUAGUGCAUUGGAAACUGGGAGACUUGAGUGCAGAAGAGGAGAGUGGAACUCCAUGUGUAGCGGUGAAAUGCGUAGAUAUAUGGAAGAACACCAGUGGCGAAAGCGGCUCUCCGGUCUGUAACUGACGCUGAGGUUCGAAAGCGUGGGUAGCAAACAGG